GACGAACGCUGGCGGCGUGCUUAACACAUGCAAGUCGAACGGAAAGGCCCUGCUUUUGUGGGGUGCUCGAGUGGCGAACGGGUGAGUAACACGUGAGUAACCUGCCCUUGACUUUGGGAUAACUUCAGGAAACUGGGGCUAAUACCGGAUAGGAGCUCCUGCUGCAUGGUGGGGGUUGGAAAGUUUCGGCGGUUGGGGAUGGACUCGCGGCUUAUCAGCUUGUUGGUGGGGUAGUGGCUUACCAAGGCUUUGACGGGUAGCCGGCCUGAGAGGGUGACCGGCCACAUUGGGACUGAGAUACGGGCCGGACUCCUACGGGAGGCAGCAGGGGGGAAUAUUGCACAAUGGGCGGAAGCCUGAUGCAGCAACGCCGCGUGCGGGAUGACGGCCUUCGGGUUGUAAACCGCUUUCGCCUGUGACGAAGCGUGAGUGACGGUAAUGGGUAGAGAAGCACGGGCUAACUACGUG
This 468-nucleotide ribosomal RNA is filed under the name uncultured bacterium. Its description in RNAcentral is "partial 16S ribosomal RNA". It matches the Rfam family "Bacterial small subunit ribosomal RNA", at positions 28 to 507 of the family's 1533-position model. The record is from RNAcentral.